CUCGACCUGCCAGGCUCAAGCAAUCCUCCCGCCUCAGCCUCCGGAAUAGCUGAGAUGAUGGCUCCUAUAGCGGCUGGCUCAGACACGUGCGUUUCCAGUUUCAGCUACUAGAGGGCAGAAUUGUGGCAGCAGCAACUGUGAAAUGUUUCCAGAAAUGGAGACGCUGGAGGUUGAAUUAGGCAUCUCGCCAACUAAAAAGCAAGAAAAAAUACGGGCCAGAAAAGGUACGGGAAGCAAGGGCUGGGCACAGCUGGUAGGCGGAAUAAGGGUGUGGACAGACCUGGAGCUGAGGUGGCAGCAGGCUACUGAAGACUGCUGAGCUGCCGCAUGAAAGAAACUCAGCCCCCACUCCCACUUCCCCCACACCCUCCCCACCCCCGACCCUGAUUUUGCCUCUGACAAGGAUAUCCAAGGUGUGGCUACUGCAAAAUAGGAUCUGUAAGCCUGGACGUUUACACAUCUCUUAGAGCCGGGUGAAUCCACCCAGUGAAGAACAGUCUACGGAGGGAUCCUCCCAGGAAAGUUGGAGGGAGACCAGAAGCAAGUACAGACAGAAAAUGGGGGUGGCCUGUAGAAAUGGAGCUUUGAUCCCAGUUAAAAUGAAAUGCGCAAGAAAAAUGGAAUACUGGCCGGGCACGGUGGCUCACGCCUGUAAUCCCAGCACUCUGGGAGGCCGAAUGGAUCACCUAAGGUCAGGAAUUCGAGACCAGCCUGACCAACAUGGAGAAACCCCGUCUCUACUAAAAAUACAAAAUUAGCCGGGCAUGGUGGCGCAUGCCUGUAAUCCCAGCUACUCAGGAGGCUGAGGCAGGAGAAUCGCUUGAACUCGGGAGGCAGAGAUUGCAGUGAGCCGAGAUCACACCGUUGCACUCCAGCCUGGGCAACAAGAGCGAAUCUCUGUCUCAAAAAAAAAAGAAAAGAAAAGAAAAAUGGAAUACUUGGAGUCACGUAUGCUGUGGUGUGAAUGACUGAUUUAUUAAAUACAUGUUAAUAGAGCAUGUGCUUUGUGGAGAUGGGGUUUGAUGCUAGUGGGGCUAGACCAACAAUAAAUAAGCAAACAAAUACAUAAGUAAAAAAUCUCAGGCCAGGCGCGGUGGCUCACGCCUGUAAUCCCAGCACUUUGGGAGGCAGAGGCGGGCGGAUCACGAGGUCAGGAGAUCGAGACCAUCCUGGCCAACACAGUGAAACCCCGUCUCUACUAAAAAUACA
This 1209-nucleotide long non-coding RNA is filed under the name Homo sapiens (human). RNAcentral describes it as "HSALNT0140550". Lineage: Eukaryota; Metazoa; Chordata; Mammalia; Primates; Hominidae. The record is from RNAcentral.